CAGAAAGCAGCUCUCACCAGACAUCAAAUCUGCCAGCACAUUGAUCUUGGACUACCCACCCUUCAGAACUACUGUCUGCGAGGGAUAAGCCUGAGGUGUCAACAUCUUCACAGGUCUUUUGAGCCUGCAUGCACAAAAGGGUCUACUGUCCCUGGCUACAUGACUGGAGCCUCAGCUCUUCACUGACUGUCCUCAGGUUCCAGGGGCCACCUGCAGUUCCUUGCCACAUGGAUUUCUCCAGCAUAGCUGUGUACUUCAUCAAGGCACAAGGAGAGUCUCCAGUCUACCAGAGCCCUAUGUAAUGUAACAUAAUCAACAAAGUGACGUCCCAUUCAUAUUCAAUUGGUCAGAAGCAAGUUACAGUCCCCACCCAGGUCAGAGGGAGGAGAUAUGACAAAGAAGUAAACAUCAGGAGGCUGGGACAAUGGGGAUACUUAAGGUCCAUCCUGCUACAACUUCCACAAUGGUGUCUUGACCACGAGGGUUCCACAGACACUGAAGCGGUCACCCAGGCUGCAAGUCUUGGUGGCAUUCUCUAGGAAUCACAGUCCCAUUCUUCUGCAAGCAAACGGAGUUGCCCUAUGACCCAGUAAGUUUACUCUUAGGUACAUUCCCUAGAGAAAUAAAAAUAUAUGUCCGUGCAAAAACAUGUAUGUGAGUGUUCGUAGCAGUGUUAUUCAUAAUAGCCAAAAGGUGGAAACAAGCCAAAUGUUUGUCAACUGAUGAAUGGAGAAAUAAAAUGUGGUAUAACCAUACAAUGGAACAUUAAACAGGAAUAAAAGAAAUGGAAUGCUGAGACAUGCAACAACAUGGAUGAACCUCAAGUACAUUAUGCUAAAAGAAAGAAGCCGGUCACAAAGGACCGCAGCUUGCAUGAUUCCAUUUAUACAGAAUGUCCAGAAUAGGCAGAUCUACAGACUGGAAGUAGAACAAGGAUUGCCAAGGGCUGUGGGAAGGGAAAAGUGGGGAACAAUGCUAAUGGGUAAGAGCUUUCUUUAUGGGAUAAUAAAAUGUUCCAAAUUUAGAUUGUGGUGAUAGUUGCACAAUUCUGUGAAAAUACUAACAAUUUUUAAUGGGUGACUAUUAUGGCAUGUGAAUUAUAUCUCAGUAAAUUUUUUUUAUUAAAAAACAAAAAAGACCCACAA
This 1145-nucleotide long non-coding RNA is filed under the name Pan troglodytes (chimpanzee). RNAcentral describes it as "lincRNA". Lineage: Eukaryota; Metazoa; Chordata; Mammalia; Primates; Hominidae. The record is from RNAcentral.